Molecule: ribosomal RNA, 427 nt
Filed under: uncultured bacterium
Lineage: Bacteria
Description: partial 16S ribosomal RNA
Rfam family: Bacterial small subunit ribosomal RNA
Source: RNAcentral
UGGGGAAUAUUGCACAAUGGGCGCAAGCCUGAUGCAGCCAUGCCGCGUGUAUGAAGAAGGCCUUCGGGUUGUAAAGUACUUUCAGCGAGGAGGAAGGCGGUAAGGUUAAUAACCUUAUCGAUUGACGUUACUCGCAGAAGAAGCACCGGCUAACUCCGUGCCAGCAGCCGCGGUAAUACGGAGGGUGCAAGCGUUAAUCGGAAUUACUGGGCGUAAAGCGCACGCAGGCGGUCUGUCAAGUCGGAUGUGGAAUCCCCGGGCUCAACCUGGGAACUGCAUUCGAAACUGGCAGGCUAGAGUCUUGUAGAGGGGGGUAGAAUUCCAGGUGUAGCGGUGAAAUGCGUAGAGAUCUGGAGGAAUACCGGUGGCGAAGGCGGCCCCCUGGACAAAGACUGACGCUCAGGUGCGAAAGCGUGGGGAGCAAACA